Molecule: ribosomal RNA, 440 nt
Filed under: uncultured bacterium
Lineage: Bacteria
Description: partial 16S ribosomal RNA
Rfam family: Bacterial small subunit ribosomal RNA
Source: RNAcentral
CCUACGGGUGGCAGCAGUAGGGAAUAUUGCUCAAUGGGGGAAACCCUGAAGCAGCAACGCCGCGUGGAGGAUGAAGGUUUUCGGAUUGUAAACUCCUUUUGUUAGAGAAGAUAAUGACGGUAUCUAACGAAUAAGCACCGGCUAACUCCGUGCCAGCAGCCGCGGUAAUACGGAGGGUGCAAGCGUUAAUCGGAAUCACUGGGCGUAAAGUGCGCGUAGGCGGGGUAGCAAGUCAGAUGUGAAAUCCUAUGGCUUAACCAUAGAACUGCAUUUGAAACUGUCAUUCUAGAGUAUUGGAGAGGGAGGUAGAAUUCUAGGUGUAGGGGUAAAAUCCGUAGAGAUCAAGAGGAAUACUCAUGGCGAAGGCGACCUGCUAGAACAUAACUGACGCUGAGGCGCGAAAGCGUGGGGAGCAAACAGGAUUAGAUACCCGGGUAGUC